GCCCCUAUAGCUCAGCCGGUUAGAGCAGCGGACUCAUAAUCCGCCGGUCCUCGGUUCAAGCCCGAGUGGGGGCA
Molecule: transfer RNA, 74 nt
Filed under: Bowdeniella nasicola
Lineage: Bacteria; Bacillati; Actinomycetota; Actinomycetes; Actinomycetales; Actinomycetaceae
Description: tRNA-Ile
Rfam family: tRNA
About the family: Transfer RNA (tRNA) molecules are approximately 80 nucleotides in length. Their secondary structure includes four short double-helical elements and three loops (D, anti-codon, and T loops).
Source: RNAcentral